AGGAGGACGCCGAAGGUGGGGCUAAUGACUGGGGUGAAGUCGUAACAAGGUAGCCGUACCGGAAGGUGCGGCUGGAUCACCUCCUAACAGGGAGACAACAAAAUGUAAAUAUUAAUUUUGUCACCUUAGGUCGAUCGGUAUCUCAGAUUCUUAUUUUAAGAAUUUCAGUUUCUAAGUUUUUUCUAGGUCACACCCAUCACUUUUUCCUGGGCCAUUAGCUCAGGUGGUUAGAGCGCACCCCUGAUAAGGGUGAGGUCCCUGGUUCAAGUCCAGGAUGGCCCAUAUCUCUAUGUUGGGGGUAUAGCUCAGUUGGUAGAGCGCCUGCUUUGCAAGCAGGAUGUCAGCGGUUCGAGUCCGCUUACCUCCACUGAAUACCACCUCUUACAUAUAUUUAAAGAGGGAAAUUGUUUUGAGUCGUGUCCUUUUUUGCUCUGAGCGAAUCUAGCUUCCUAUUUUAUUCAAUAAAAUAAGAUGCUGGACUCAUUGAAUCUUUUUUCAUUGUUUUCAGAGAACCUUGACAACUGCAUAGAUUAUUUUUGAAGACAAUAAGCAUCUUUAAUGAUGCAGAUUUAUUAUUUGUGCGAAUGCAUUAAAUAACAAUUCUAUUAAGCUGAUGCUUCAAUUAUUGAAGUUAUUGGUCAAGCUACAAAGGGCUCACGGAGGAUACCUAGGCACACAGAGGCGA
RNAcentral lists this unclassified non-coding RNA (685 nucleotides) under uncultured Prochlorococcus sp. RNAcentral describes it as "partial may contain 16S ribosomal RNA, 16S-23S ribosomal RNA intergenic spacer, and 23S ribosomal RNA". The stretch from base 295 to 367 matches the Rfam family "tRNA". Lineage: Bacteria; Bacillati; Cyanobacteriota; Cyanophyceae; Synechococcales; Prochlorococcaceae. The record is from RNAcentral.